This 449-nucleotide ribosomal RNA is filed under the name uncultured bacterium. Its description in RNAcentral is "partial 16S ribosomal RNA". It matches the Rfam family "Bacterial small subunit ribosomal RNA", at positions 29 to 523 of the family's 1533-position model. The record is from RNAcentral.
AAUGAACGCUGGCGGCAGGCCUAACACAUGCAAGUCGAACGGAUCCGUCGGGAUUAGUGGCGGACGGGUGAGUAACGCGUGGGAACAUACCCUUUGGUACGGAAUAGCCUCGGGAAACUGGGAGUAAUACCGUAUGUGGUCGAGAGACAAAAGAUUUAUCGCCAAAGGAUUGGCCCGCGUUGGAUUAGGUAGUUGGUGGGGUAAUGGCCUACCAAGCCGACGAUCCAUAGCUGGUUUGAGAGGAUAAUCGGCCACACUGGGACUGAGACACGGCCCAGACUCCUACGGGAGGCAGUAGUGGGGAAUCUUAGACAAUGGGGGAAACCCUGAUCUAGCCAUGCCGCGUGAUCGAUGAAGGCCUUAGGGUUGUAAAGAUCUUUCAGGUGGGAAGAUAAUGACUGUACCACCAGAAGAAGCCCCGGCUAACUCCGUGCCAGCAGCCGCAGUAA